AGAACGUAGACCCAGGCUCCAUCAGGACCAGGGGAGGCAGGCAGAAUGUCCUGCCCCCAGACCCUGCUGGAGGAGAACGUAGACCCAGGCUCCAUCAGGACCAGGGGAGGCAGGCAGAAUGUCCUGCCCCCAGACCCUGCUGGAGGAGAACGUAGACCCAGGCUCCAUCAGGGGAGGCAGGCAGAAUGUCCUGCCCUCAGACCCUGCUGGAGGAGAACUCAGACCCAGACUCCAUCAGGACCAGGGGAGGCAGGCAGAAUACCCUGCCGCGACACUGUCUGAGCAACUCUUCGUCCUGGAGAUUCCCCCCCUCCCCGACUAGCAGCCUUCACACUGGAGACAGAUCACAUCUCUGGUGAAUGAGAUCUAUGACAGCAAGUCUUUUACAUAAACCUCUCUCUGUAGUCAACACAUACAGUCAAAGUACAAGUUAACAUUGUACAUAGACAGGUUCUGUUGAGUGAGUUGCGUAGGUACUCACAGGUGAACACAGUACUCACAGGUGAACUUAGUACUCACAGAUUAACUCAUGGGUGAACACAGUACUUGUAGAUUAACUCAGAUUAAAUGGGUUAACACAGUACUCGCGGGUUAACACAGUACUCGCGGGUUAACACAGUACUCGCGGGUUAACACAGUACUCGCGGGUUAACACAGUACUCGCGGGUUAACACAGUACUCGCGGGUUAACACAGUACUCGCGGGUUAACUGAUGACUGUAAGGUGAUGACUGUGUGUGUUUGCACGUGCAUAGAAUCAACCCUGUAGACAGAAGUCACCUCAGCAGCAGUAGCCUCCAGUUUGGUCUAGCGGGCUAAAAGGACAUUUAUUUGUCAAGUCCUGUUCCAUGUUUUCUCUUUUUAAAUAAACUGUUUGGUAACUGCUGCUGAGUGUAUGAAGGAGGUAGGGCGUCGAUAGUAAAUGUAUUUAAAACUUCUGAUUUAUGCUGUG
RNAcentral lists this long non-coding RNA (951 nucleotides) under Salmo salar (Atlantic salmon). RNAcentral's name for it is "lncRNA (ENSSSAG00000089076.1)". The record is from RNAcentral. Lineage: Eukaryota; Metazoa; Chordata; Actinopteri; Salmoniformes; Salmonidae.